Molecule: ribosomal RNA, 399 nt
Filed under: uncultured bacterium
Lineage: Bacteria
Description: bacterial SSU rRNA
Rfam family: Bacterial small subunit ribosomal RNA
Source: RNAcentral
GGAAUAUUGCACAAUGGGCGAAAGCCUGAUGCAGCAACGCCGCGUGAGCGAUGAAGGCCUUCGGGUCGUAAAGCUCUUUUCUGAGGGAAGAGAAAGGACUGUACCUCAGGAAUAAGUCUCGGCUAACUACGUGCCAGCAGCCGCGGUAAUACGUAGGAGGCGAGCGUUAUCCGGAUUUACUGGGCGUAAAGCGUGUGCAGGCGGUUUGGUAAGUUGGAUGUGAAAGCUCCCGGCUCAACUGGGAGAGGUCGUUCAAUACUGCCAGACUUGAGGACGGUAGAGGAGAGUGGAAUUCCCGGUGUAGUGGUGAAAUGCGUAGAUAUCGGGUGGAACACCAGUGGCGAAAGCGGCUCUCUGGGCCGUUCCUGACGCUAAGACACGAAAGCGUGGGUAGCGAAC